AUACGAAGGGUGCAAGCGUUAAUCGGAAUUACUGGGCGUAAAGCGCGCGUAGGUGGUUUUGUAAGUUGGAGGUGAAAGCCCCGGGCUCAACCUGGGAAUUGCCUCCAAAACUGCAUGACUAGAGUACGGUAGAGGGUAGUGGAAUUUCCUGUGUAGCGGUGAAAUGCGUAGAUAUAGGAAGGAACACCAGUGGCGAAGGCGACUACCGGGACUGAUACUGACACUGAGGUGCGAAAGCGUGGGGAGCAAACAGGUUUAGAUACCCUGGUAGUCCACGUCGUAAACGAUGUCAACUAGCCGUUGGGAUCCUUGAGAUCUUAGUGGCGCAGCUAACGCAUUAAGUUGACCGCCUGGGGAGUACGGCCGCAAGGUUAAAACUCAAAGGAAUUGACGGGG
Molecule: ribosomal RNA, 396 nt
Filed under: uncultured bacterium
Lineage: Bacteria
Description: partial 16S ribosomal RNA
Rfam family: Bacterial small subunit ribosomal RNA
Source: RNAcentral